This 1492-nucleotide ribosomal RNA is filed under the name Lacticaseibacillus paracasei. RNAcentral describes it as "bacterial SSU rRNA". It matches the Rfam family "Bacterial small subunit ribosomal RNA". Lineage: Bacteria; Bacillati; Bacillota; Bacilli; Lactobacillales; Lactobacillaceae. The record is from RNAcentral.
GAUGAACGCUGGCGGCGUGCCUAAUACAUGCAAGUCGAACGAGUUCUCGUUGAUGAUCGGUGCUUGCACCGAGAUUGAACAUGGAACGAGUGGCGGACGGGUGAGUAACACGUGGGUAACCUGCCCUUAAGUGGGGGAUAACAUUUGGAAACAGAUGCUAAUACCGCAUAGAUCCAAGAACCGCAUGGUUCUUGGCUGAAAGAUGGCGUAAGCUAUCGCUUUUGGAUGGACCCGCGGCGUAUUAGCUAGUUGGUGAGGUAAUGGCUCACCAAGGCGAUGAUACGUAGCCGAACUGAGAGGUUGAUCGGCCACAUUGGGACUGAGACACGGCCCAAACUCCUACGGGAGGCAGCAGUAGGGAAUCUUCCACAAUGGACGCAAGUCUGAUGGAGCAACGCCGCGUGAGUGAAGAAGGCUUUCGGGUCGUAAAACUCUGUUGUUGGAGAAGAAUGGUCGGCAGAGUAACUGUUGUCGGCGUGACGGUAUCCAACCAGAAAGCCACGGCUAACUACGUGCCAGCAGCCGCGGUAAUACGUAGGUGGCAAGCGUUAUCCGGAUUUAUUGGGCGUAAAGCGAGCGCAGGCGGUUUUUUAAGUCUGAUGUGAAAGCCCUCGGCUUAACCGAGGAAGCGCAUCGGAAACUGGGAAACUUGAGUGCAGAAGAGGACAGUGGAACUCCAUGUGUAGCGGUGAAAUGCGUAGAUAUAUGGAAGAACACCAGUGGCGAAGGCGGCUGUCUGGUCUGUAACUGACGCUGAGGCUCGAAAGCAUGGGUAGCGAACAGGAUUAGAUACCCUGGUAGUCCAUGCCGUAAACGAUGAAUGCUAGGUGUUGGAGGGUUUCCGCCCUUCAGUGCCGCAGCUAACGCAUUAAGCAUUCCGCCUGGGGAGUACGACCGCAAGGUUGAAACUCAAAGGAAUUGACGGGGGCCCGCACAAGCGGUGGAGCAUGUGGUUUAAUUCGAAGCAACGCGAAGAACCUUACCAGGUCUUGACAUCUUUUGAUCACCUGAGAGAUCAGGUUUCCCCUUCGGGGGCAAAAUGACAGGUGGUGCAUGGUUGUCGUCAGCUCGUGUCGUGAGAUGUUGGGUUAAGUCCCGCAACGAGCGCAACCCUUAUGACUAGUUGCCAGCAUUUAGUUGGGCACUCUAGUAAGACUGCCGGUGACAAACCGGAGGAAGGUGGGGAUGACGUCAAAUCAUCAUGCCCCUUAUGACCUGGGCUACACACGUGCUACAAUGGAUGGUACAACGAGUUGCGAGACCGCGAGGUCAAGCUAAUCUCUUAAAGCCAUUCUCAGUUCGGACUGUAGGCUGCAACUCGCCUACACGAAGUCGGAAUCGCUAGUAAUCGCGGAUCAGCACGCCGCGGUGAAUACGUUCCCGGGCCUUGUACACACCGCCCGUCACACCAUGAGAGUUUGUAACACCCGAAGCCGGUGGCGUAACCCUUUUAGGGAGCGAGCCGUCUAAGGUGGGACAAAUGAUUAGGGUG